This is a long non-coding RNA of Ochotona curzoniae (black-lipped pika), 1032 nucleotides long. RefSeq lists it as uncharacterized. The record is from RefSeq and is a predicted model, not a curated record. The transcript has 2 exons. Lineage: Eukaryota; Metazoa; Chordata; Mammalia; Lagomorpha; Ochotonidae.
AGCUGGAUGGAAGUGGAGCUGCCAGGACUCUGACACCUGUGCUGGUGCUGCAGGGCCGACUCGGCUUGCUCUCCCGCGGUGCCGUCGCUGGCCAUGGCUGGGCUGUUUCCAUGGCCGUCGUGGGGUUUAGCAGCAUUGUGGAAAGAGGAGUGUCAUGGAAGCCUUGGCGUGGAUUUGUUUCCUUGGCAGCUUCCAGUCAGCUCUGACCUGCGUGGGUGCCGCGUGAAGGCGGCUGUGCCGGGCUGGUCGCCAGGGCGGCCGGUUAAGCGGGCCUCAGCGUGCAGAGCUGUGCUCUUGCUGCCGACAGUUUGGUCUGCAGUGGGCUCUGGGGUGUGAACGCCUAGCCCUCGUGGCACCUGAGCCUUCCACGCCGGCCACGAGGCUGGAGACAUCUGCUCCUCCUUUGUUCUGGAUUCUCCGUGUUGGGGCUGAGAUCCACUUAGUGUGUGAUGUGAGUGGAUCCGCAGGCUGCUGACCAGUGUCCGAUAGACCCAGCGUCUUGGGGAGGCUUCUGUUCUCCCUCUGUGGGUGUGGAGGGAGGGGAGUGCAGGUCACCGGCUGAAGCCGUGGGGUCUGAUGGGGGGAUGAGGAGGGAGGAGCAUGCUCUGUUUUGGCCUGAGAGCUGGUUCCCCCUAAGUCAUAGCUCCCUUCUGUGACCAGGAUGGAGCCACGGGGGCCGAGCCGCAGCUGCGUUCUGUCCUCCGCACGCUGGGAGCAGAGGAGAGCUUGAGGGAAGAGCUGGUCCGUGCAGGAGGCUGCCUCAGCGUCCCUUGAAGGGCCAGCAGGAGCCCACUGCACGCCUACUUGGAAGACACCUGGUCUCUAGGAGGCCGCGUCUGGGUGGGGGCCUUGUGACAGGGAUAUGUUGACACUCCCACUCAGGUUCCCGUCGGUGGCUUCUCAGGCCUGGUGAGGGUCGGGUCGUGGGGACUCACACUCGUGCAGCAAAGCCCAGUCCUGCGUGUUCCUUUGGCCCCCUGGGUUGCUGCUGUCACCCUCGGGUUCUCUGAACGUUCUGUUCUAACCAUAGCA